Molecule: ribosomal RNA, 235 nt
Filed under: uncultured bacterium
Lineage: Bacteria
Description: partial 16S ribosomal RNA
Rfam family: Bacterial small subunit ribosomal RNA
Source: RNAcentral
ACGGGUGAGUAACACGUAUGCAAUCCACCUGUAACAGGGGGAUAACCCGGAGAAAUCCGGACUAAUACCCCAUAAUAUGGGCGCUCCGCAUGGAGAGUCCAUUAAAGAGAGCAAUCUUGGUUACAGACGAGCAUGCGCUCCAUUAGCCAGUUGGCGGGGUAACGGCCCACCAAGCGACGAUGGAUAGGGGUUCUGAGAGGAAGGUCCCCCACAUUGGAACUGAGACACGGUCCAA